Molecule: ribosomal RNA, 241 nt
Filed under: uncultured bacterium
Lineage: Bacteria
Description: partial 16S ribosomal RNA
Rfam family: Bacterial small subunit ribosomal RNA
Source: RNAcentral
CUAGUGGCGAACGGGUGAGUAACACGUUGGUUACUACCCCCAAGUGGGGAAUAGCUCCGGGAAACCGGAAUUAAUACCGCAUGUGAUGGUGAGAGUAAAGUUUCAUCAUUAAAGCCUUCGGGCGCUUGGGGAGGGGCCUGCGUCCGAUUAGUUUGUUGGUGGGGUAAUGGCUCACCAAGGCUAUGAUCGGUAGCUGGUCUGAGAGGACGAUCAGCCACAUUGGGACUGAGAUACGGCCCAG